Molecule: ribosomal RNA, 484 nt
Filed under: uncultured bacterium
Lineage: Bacteria
Description: partial 16S ribosomal RNA
Rfam family: Bacterial small subunit ribosomal RNA
Source: RNAcentral
AUUGAACGCUAGCGGGAUGCUUUACACAUGCAAGUCGAACGGCAGCGCGGACUUCGGUCUGGCGGCGAGUGGCGAACGGGUGAGUAAUGUAUCGGAACGUGCCCAGUAGCGGGGGAUAACUACGCGAAAGCGUAGCUAAUACCGCAUACGCCCUACGGGGGAAAGCAGGGGUUCGUAAGACCUUGCACUAUUGGAGCGGCCGAUAUCGGAUUAGCUAGUUGGUGAGGUAACGGCUCACCAAGGCGACGAUCCGUAGCUGGUUGGAGAGGACGACCAGCCACACUGGGACUGAGACACGGCCCAGACGCCUACGGGAGGCAGCAGUGGGGAAUUUUGGGCAAUGGGGGCAACCCUGAUCCAGCCAUCCCGCGUGUGCGAUGAAGGCCUUCGGGUUGUAAAGCACUUUUGGCAGGAAAGAAACGUCGCGGGCUAAUACCCCGUGGAACUGACGGUACCUGCAGAAUAAGCACCGGCUAACUACGUG